GAAAUGCGAUAAGUAAUGUGAAUUGCAGAAUUCAGUGAAUCAUCGAAUCUUUGAACGCACAUUGCGCCCGCCAGUACUCUGGCGGGCAUGCCUGUUCGAGCGUCAUUUCAACCAUCAAGCCACCGGCUUGUGUUGGGGACCUGCGGCUGCCCGCAGGCCCUGAAAAACAGUGGCGGGCUCGCUGUCACACCGAGCGUAGUAGCAUACAUUCUCGCUCAGGGCGUGCUGCGGGUUCCGGCCGUUAAACGACCUUCAUAACCCAAGGUUGACCUCGGAUCAGGUAGGAAGACCCGCUGAACUUAAGC
Molecule: unclassified non-coding RNA, 305 nt
Filed under: plant metagenome
Description: partial contains 5.8S ribosomal RNA, internal transcribed spacer 2, and large subunit ribosomal RNA
Rfam family: 5.8S ribosomal RNA (bases 1-105)
Source: RNAcentral